Molecule: long non-coding RNA, 732 nt
Filed under: Homo sapiens (human)
Lineage: Eukaryota; Metazoa; Chordata; Mammalia; Primates; Hominidae
Description: HSALNT0231155
Source: RNAcentral
GGAUACUCAAUUGACUUCAACCUGACUUUGAAGUCCUCCAUUGGAUCUUCUCGGAAGAUGAGGGAAAUGAGAGAGUGUGGAGAGAGAUUUUGUAAGUCCGGUCUGGAAGUGGUCAUUGUUCAGAAUCCAGCCACGUGGGUACAUGGAACUGUAAGGCUAUUUCAACAUGGGAAACUGAAAUCGGGCAUAUCCCUGCGGAAGAAGCUGUCUCUUAGCGAAGAAUAAAACUGUGGACUGACCCCCACCCAUUUGCGAAGAAAGUACUGGGUCUUCAGCUUUCAUUGUUCAGCCGGUGGUCUUUGUGGACAACACCAGGGGCCCCUCCUGCUGAAGACUGUCUGGACUUCCUGAUUUUCACUCCUGUAUAAACCCCCUCCCCCAUUACUACCUUUGUCUCCUUGGGGAAAAAAAAUGUUUUUCACUUAAGCAAAAUAAUAACUACCCAGUAUUUGUUUCUGGAGUGAAAUUGUAAACUUCAUUGUACAUUCUUCCUGGCUUUGAUGCUUAUCGUGAAGAGUUCAGUGAAAAUAAAUUGUUUUUAUGAAAGCAGAGAAACCAUUUGAUAAACACGCUGUCUCUGAAAAUCGUUCCUGCAAAAGAGGUCAUUCUUUCACUUUAAAAGAAAUAGAAUAUAUUUCAGAAAACAGGCAGGACAACAUACAAAUUUUUUUUUAAGGCAGAGUGUAAAUACAGUGAAAAUUGCACACCUCCUGAUUGUGUGGAGUGUUUUGG